CCUACGGGAGGCAGCAGUGAGGAAUAUUGGUCAAUGGACGAGAGUCUGAACCAGCCAAGUAGCGUGAAGGAUGACUGCCCUAUGGGUUGUAAACUUCUUUUAUAUGGGAAUAAAAUGUUCCACGUGUGGGAUUUUGUAUGUACCAUAUGAAUAAGGAUCGGCUAACUCCGUGCCAGCAGCCGCGGUAAUACGGAGGAUCCGAGCGUUAGCCGGAUUUAUUGGGUUUAAAGGGAGCGUAGGUGGAUUGUUAAGUCAGUUGUGAAAGUUUGCGGCUCAACCGUAAAAUUGCAGUUGAAACUGGCAGUCUUGAGUACAGUAGAGGUGGGCGGAAUUCGUGGUGUAGCGGUGAAAUGCUUAGAUAUCACGAAGAACUCCGAGUGCGAAGGCAGUUCACUGGACUGCAACUGACACUGAGGCUCGAAAGUGUGGGUAUCAAACAGGAUUAGAUACCCGAGUAGUC
This 460-nucleotide ribosomal RNA is filed under the name uncultured bacterium. RNAcentral describes it as "partial 16S ribosomal RNA". It matches the Rfam family "Bacterial small subunit ribosomal RNA", at positions 338 to 795 of the family's 1533-position model. The record is from RNAcentral.